Molecule: long non-coding RNA, 1760 nt
Filed under: Citrus sinensis (sweet orange)
Lineage: Eukaryota; Viridiplantae; Streptophyta; Magnoliopsida; Sapindales; Rutaceae
Description: long non-coding RNA (CSIN_LNC004966)
Source: RNAcentral
UAAAGAACAAGAUUAGUGUUUUAUAUAGUUAAUAUGAGGAACUGCAACAUUGAACUCAAAUUAACUAAGAGAAGUUCAUCCAUAGAACUUUGUUCAUGCACUCGUGACAAAUUUUCAGGAAACAAAACCAUUAAAAUCUUGGACUUAUUAUUGAAUGAUGUAUGAACUUAUUGAAAUAAAUUAACAGCUGUAAUUAUUUUAGUCUUACCUAAAACGCAAAUUCUAUCUACCAUUUAGUAUAUUUUUGGUAACAUUCAUUCCACUCCUAAGUCAGCUUCAGAUAUUAAUUCACUUCCUAUUUUGUUAGCACAAUAGCACUAAACCUAAGUAUUAUUCGAGUUAGAGUGAAUAAUUACACCAAAAGUAAACACUUAAUCCUGAUCUGUUUGAUUGUCAAGAAACAGUAGGAAAAGAAGGGAAAGAAACAAAAGCGAACAAAGUAAAAAUAAAAGCUCACUGGGCUCAAUGAAAAAGAUAAAAACAUAAAUUAAUUUAAACUACAACUAUUGACUUCGUUUUUGUUUUCUUGGAAACUGAAUCCUAAAAAUGACCAGCACUCCGCCCAAGUUUUCUCAAGACACUCAUUGAUUCCUCAGAACACCCAACUACGGUGGACCCAACCAAAGUCUAUUGCAUUGUUGAAUGAAAGUAUGAAAUCUUAACAACUAGCUCAGGCCAACAGAAACAACAUCAGACAUUGUGAUUAAACAUCUUCCUCAACUAACUCAGCGAUCAAAUGUCUAAUUCUGUAAACAUAUAAGCUAUUUCUUCUUUCCAUCAAUUAAACCCCAAAGUAGAACUCCCACUAUAAGUAUCCCCUUCAAAUUGGUUCCUUUUUUCUUUCUUUAAUACCUUUUAAGCAGGUUUUGUUCCUUCUUACAUUAGCAAAUAACUAACAUAAACAUCUACAUCUCUAAGCGAAAAAAACAUUUGCUCACAAAAUCAAAAACCAUUGCAAUAGGAAAUGACAGAUACCCAGUUGAAAUAGAGGCUUCAUCUCUCGCUCAUUCUUGUCACAUAGCAGGAGUCAAUGGAAAAAUCUCAUUCAUGGCUUCCCUAGCUUGUCUCAAUUUCUCUAUCUCACCCAUUUUUCUCAAAACCUUUAUUUACUGAAAAAUAAAAAUAAGAUAAAAACCAUUUUUAUCGCAACCCAAAGAACAAGCAAACGGUUAUCCACAAAAUCACUCAAUAAAUAUGUGUAUUGAAGUUACUUGAACAUUGGUGUCGUAAUUGGAGGGUUCAUUGGAUAGCUGAUACUCUAGAAACUCCUCUUUCGUAAAUCUUCUCAACUCCCAAAAGAGCCUCAGGUCUACAAAUUAAAGCCAAGUAUCAGCAAGAAACAGAUUGUGUAAUUAUCAAUAUAUACAUUAAGCUUUAGGUCACAGCUAUGUAAAACCAGAAAAAAGUAUGAAAUCUUAACAAUUAGCUGAGGCCAGCAGAAACAACAUCAGACAUUGUGAUUAAUUAUCUUCCUCGACUAACUCCGCGAUCAAAUGUCUAAUUCUGUAAACAUAUAAGCUAUUUCUUCUUCCCAUCAAUUAAACCCCAAAGAAUAGAACUCCCACCAUAAGUAUCCCCUUCUUCAAAUUGGUUCUUUUUUUUUUCUUUCUUUAAUACCUUUUAAGCAGGUUUUGUUCCUUUUUACAUUAGCAAAUAACUAACAUAAACAUCCAUAUCUCUACGCGAAAAAACAUUUGUUCACGAAAUCAAAAACCACUGCAAAAAGGAAAUGACAGAUACCCAGCUGAAAUAGAGGCUUC